Molecule: ribosomal RNA, 460 nt
Filed under: uncultured bacterium
Lineage: Bacteria
Description: partial 16S ribosomal RNA
Rfam family: Bacterial small subunit ribosomal RNA
Source: RNAcentral
CCUACGGGAGGCAGCAGUCGAGAAUCAUUCACAAUGGGCGCGAGCCUGAACCAGCCAAGUCGCGUGAGGGAGGACGGCCCUACGGGUUGUAAACCUCUUUUGCCGGGGAGCAACGGGCGUCACGUGUGGCGCCACUGAGAGUACCCGGAGAAAAAGCAUCGGCUAACUCCGUGCCAGCAGCCGCGGUAAUACGGAGGAUGCGAGCGUUAUCCGGAUUUAUUGGGUUAAAAGGGUGCGUAGGCGGAUCGUUAAGUCAGUGGUCAAAUUGAGGGGCUCAACCCCCUCCCGCCAUUGAAACUGGCGCUCUUGAGUGGAAGAGAGGUAUGCGGAAUGCGUGGUGUAGCGGUGAAAUGCAUAGAUAUCACGCAGAACCCCGAUGGCGAAGGCAGCAUGCCGGCUUCCGACUGACGCUGAAGCACGAAAGCGUGGGGAUCGAACAGGAUUAGAUACCCGGGUAGUC